This 305-nucleotide ribosomal RNA is filed under the name uncultured bacterium. Its description in RNAcentral is "bacterial SSU rRNA". It matches the Rfam family "Bacterial small subunit ribosomal RNA", at positions 336 to 656 of the family's 1533-position model. The record is from RNAcentral.
CUCCUACGGGAGGCAGCAGUGGGGAAUAUUGGGCAAUGGGCGCAAGCCUGACCCAGCAACGCCGCGUGAAGGAAGAAGGUUUUCGGAUCGUAAACCUCUGUCCUUGGUGAAGAGAAGAAGACGGUAGCCAAGGAGGAAGCCCCGGCUAACUACGUGCCAGCAGCCGCGGUAAUACGUAGGGGGCAAGCGUUAUCCGGAUUUACUGGGUGUAAAGGGAGCGUAGACGGCUAUGCAAGUCUGGAGUGAAAGGCGGGGGCCCAACCCCCGGACUGCUCUGGAAACUGUAGAGCUAGAGUGCAGGAGAG